AGCCCCGGAGCCUUUUAGAGGCUCUUCUUCAAAUUUGCAUUUUGACGUGGAACACCCCAGGACU
RNAcentral lists this transfer RNA (64 nucleotides) under Anolis insignis. RNAcentral's name for it is "tRNA-Cys". Lineage: Eukaryota; Metazoa; Chordata; Lepidosauria; Squamata; Anolidae. The record is from RNAcentral.